Oryctolagus cuniculus (rabbit) is the source of this 843-nucleotide non-coding RNA. The record is from RefSeq and is a predicted model, not a curated record. Lineage: Eukaryota; Metazoa; Chordata; Mammalia; Lagomorpha; Leporidae.
GUAGGCAGAAUUCAUCGAACCCGACCAGACCAUCAGAGUCGCGAUCCAGAAGUUCUAGCAUCACGUCUACCGUCUCAGGGUCAUGUGGUCUCUAUGAAAAAAGUUGAAAAAAAUUGUUUUACAAUGUACUAUUUACAGCACAUAGAAUCUUUUUCUACUCCCGAACAUCUACAAUGGAAAAAUGAAGAAUCAGAGAACAUAUUGAUGCCCCUGGAGAAAAAGAGCUGGUGUAAUGCAUUACUGUAGAUAUAAUCAUCCUGCUCAGCCCAAGUUACUAAUGAUUAUGACACCUAAAUGCUUGAGUCUGCUUCUGCUAGAAGCACAUUAAGAUGUCUUGCUUCUGCCCAAAAUGCGUGCCAUAAAGAGAUUGAAAACUGAAGCUUCAUACUCGAGAUGCUUUGGAUUCGGGAUGUGAAGGUGCUGGCCUUCCAAAUGUGGAAAGAGGACAGAAGAUGACCCAAGUGCUUGGGCCCCUGCCAUACUUGUGGGAUACCCAGAUGGAGUUCCAGGCUCCUGGCUUCGGCCUGGCCCAGCCAUGGUCAUUGCAGCCAUUUGGAGAGUGGACCACUGGAUGGAAGAUCUCUCUCUGUCUCUCCCUCUCUCUCUUUGUAACUUUGCCUUUAAAAUAAAUAAAUAUUUCUUAAAAAUGAGUGAAUUGCAUUUAUAUUUCAUAUACUAGACCACAUAUACACACCAUGGCCAGAAAGUAGCCUUGUGAGAGUUCAGAAAUCCUAAUUUGAUAGGAAGAUUAGAAUGAGAAGAGAUAGUAAAAGAACACUAGAGAGAAGUCUCAAUGUACUGUAGGUUUGGGGAAGGCACACAAUUUCAUUUUUAAAAUCUUGC